GGUAGAGCACUGAAUGGCCUAGGGCGGCAUACCGUACCAAAGCCUAUCAAACUCCGAAUGCCAAAAAAUCAGGUCAUGGAGUCAGACUUAGAGGGAUAAGCUCCUAAGUCGAAAGGGAAAGAGCCCAGACCGACAGCUAAGGUCCCCAAAUCUGGAUUAAGUGGAAAAGGAUGUGAACCUACUAAGACAACCAGGACGUUGGCUUAGAAGCAGCCAUACAUUCAAAGAAUGCGUAAUAGCUCACUGGUCAAGUGGGUUUGCGCCGAAAAUAAACGGGGCUAAAAUCCAGUACCGAAGCUUCG
RNAcentral lists this ribosomal RNA (302 nucleotides) under Nephroselmis pyriformis. RNAcentral describes it as "partial Bacterial large subunit ribosomal RNA". It matches the Rfam family "Bacterial large subunit ribosomal RNA", at positions 901 to 1204 of the family's 2925-position model. Lineage: Eukaryota; Viridiplantae; Chlorophyta; Nephroselmidophyceae; Nephroselmidales; Nephroselmidaceae. The record is from RNAcentral.